This 475-nucleotide ribosomal RNA is filed under the name unidentified nematode Sourhope farm. RNAcentral's name for it is "SSU rRNA". It matches the Rfam family "Eukaryotic small subunit ribosomal RNA", at positions 58 to 529 of the family's 1831-position model. The record is from RNAcentral. Lineage: Eukaryota; Metazoa; Nematoda.
UCUAAGUAUAACCUGCCAGACAGGGAAACUGCGUACGGCUCAUUACACCAGCCUUAAUUUACUUGACCUUGACAACCUACUUGGAUAACUGUGGUAAUUCUAGAGCUAAUACAUGCACCAAAGCUCCGAUCCUCGCGGAGAGGAGCGCAUUUGUUCGCCACAAAACCAAGCGCCCAUCUGGGCGUCCAGUGCUGAACCAGAACAACUCAGCUGAUCGCACGGUCUUGUACCGGCGACGUGUCUUUCAAGUGUCUGCCUUAUCAACUUUCGAUGGUAGUGUACCUGACUACCAUGGUUGUGACGGGUAACGGAGGAUAAGGGUUCGACUCCGGAGAAGGGGCCUGAGAAAUGGCCACUACGUCUAAGGAUGGCAGCAGGCGCGCAAAUUACCCACUCUCAACGCGAGGAGGUAGUGACGAGAAAUAACGAGACCGUUCUCAUACGAGGCCGGUUAUUGGAAUGGGUACAAUUUACA